GACGAACGCUGGCGGCGUGCUUAACACAUGCAAGUCGAACGGAAAGGCCCUGCUUGCAGGGUACUCGAGUGGCGAACGGGUGAGUAACACGUGGGUGAUCUGCCCUGCACUUCGGGAUAAGCCUGGGAAACUGGGUCUAAUAUCGGAUAGGAGCCAUUCUUAGUGUGAUGGUUGGAAAGUUUUUUUCGGUGUAGGAUGAGCUCGCGGCCUAUCAGCUUGUUGGUGGGGUAAUGGCCUACCAAGGCGGCGAUGGGUAGCCGGCCUGGGAGGGUGGACGGCCACAUUGGGGCUGGGAUACGGCCCAGACUCCUACGGGGGGCAGCAAUUGGGAAUAUUGCACAAUGGGGGCAAGCCUGAUGCAGCGACGCCGCGUGGGGGAUGACGGGCUUCGGGUUGUAAACUCCUUUCGCUAGGGACGAAGCUUUUUGUGACGGUACCUAGAUAAGAAGCACCGGCUAACUACGUG
Molecule: ribosomal RNA, 466 nt
Filed under: uncultured bacterium
Lineage: Bacteria
Description: partial 16S ribosomal RNA
Rfam family: Bacterial small subunit ribosomal RNA
Source: RNAcentral